Tachysurus vachellii is the source of this 401-nucleotide long non-coding RNA. RefSeq lists it as uncharacterized. The record is from RefSeq and is a predicted model, not a curated record. The transcript is spliced from 4 exons. Lineage: Eukaryota; Metazoa; Chordata; Actinopteri; Siluriformes; Bagridae.
GGUCAGUUCCAGGCUUCAGUGUUUCCAUCCACAGAAGCUCAUCCUAUAUGCUGCAGAGCUCCUCAGCCGGAAGAAAGAGUGAGGGAGCUGGAGGGACUGCUCCGUAAGGCACAAGAGAAUGAGGCAAAAAGCUUGGUGUCUCUGGCUGAUGCGGAGCUGAAACACAAGGACGCUCUGGACUCCAUCAGUCAGCUGGAGGAAGAGAAGUCAGAGCUGAAGGACCAGGUGGACAAGCUGCAUUGCACGGUGCAGGAGCUGGGAGAAGAGCUCUGUCAGUGUCACCUUGAGAAUGAAGAGCUACUGAAGGAGUGUGAGCAAAACAAGGAGGCUCACAAAGCCCUGCAGCUGGAACAUGUAGAGUUGAAACAGGAGCUGGUCCUCAAGGAGGUAGUGCUGAAGGU